This is a long non-coding RNA of Cydia fagiglandana, 3630 nucleotides long. RefSeq lists it as uncharacterized. The record is from RefSeq and is a predicted model, not a curated record. Lineage: Eukaryota; Metazoa; Arthropoda; Insecta; Lepidoptera; Tortricidae. The transcript has 2 exons.
UAAAGGUACCAUAUGGCGGUUGGCACUUACGCUAUUUUUAACGACGCUUCAAAGCUAAUGCGGUGCUACGUGACGUAAGCGCCGACCGCCAUAAGGUAACUUUUUCCGUGGAACGUCACAUGUUGUUUAUAAUAGUUACAGUGGUUUGCUAUUAUUUUGACAGCAAAUGUGUAUUUCCAUUUGAUCAUUAGAAAAUUAUUUUAAAAUUGUCAGUAUACGAUUUUUUAUUUAAAGCUACAUUAACAGUAACUAUCAUUCAGUUAAGUAACAAUUGUUUUUCGGUUUAAAUGUUUUAUUGAACCUGAUAAACCCGUGAAAUCUGUAUAUUAUUAUGUAAUGCUAAAGGUUUAUUCGAGAAGAGAAAUCAUGAUUUGUGCAACAAUAAUAAUCAUUAAAAUGAAUGUGUACAAAAUUUUAUAUCAAUUUGCAACUGUGGGACAACAAAGUGAUUUACAAGGAUAAAAGAGAGACUUCACACUAGCGUCUUUCGAGUGUCGGCGUCUAGUGUAAGUUCUCAAAUUGCGGGCAUUUUUCUCUGUCACUCUUAUUACGCCUUCAUUGGAGUAAAAGAGAAAGAUCCCCGCAAUUUGCGAAUUUCGGUUUUCGCGGUAGCCGCUCUGAGGGCCUACCGCGCACUAACUUGUUGCCUCCCAGUCACACUUACGUACGAAAUUAUAAGUGCGACAGAGAGGCAACACGUCGUCAAAGUCUCUAAACCCUAAAUUUCUUUGGGGAUAAUAAAGGUUUGGGUUACUAAGCAUUUACACAUAUCUCUUGGUUAUAUCUUCAUUAUUUUUACAUUAUCUUUGUUUCAAAUAUUUGAAGAUACUUAUAUUGUUUAUCAUUGAUUUAUGUUACUAAUAGUUGAAAAGCCAAGAGAUCUCACAAGUUAAAAGCAAUCUUAUUGUUAUUUAAUUAUUAGUCAACAAAUUUUUAUUAGUGCUUCAUAGUUAUCUAUUGUUUUACAUUUACGAUGCUUACUGGAACUUUAUUACUUGUUUAUUCCAUAAUCUCUUUAUUUUGUAGCAUUAUCUUAGUUUUAGUUAGGUUUUUAAGGGUUAUUCCCGGUAGUUACCACCAAAGAGAAUUGCUGUUUGUGGUAACUACUGAGAUUUUUUUUUCACUUGUUACCUACUGGGGACACGUGAGAAAAAUAUUCUUAGUUGUUACCACUGGUGGUGGUAACUAGUGGGAAUAACCGUUUUGAAAUAGUGAUGUCAUGCCGCAAAGGCUAUAUAUACUUUUAGGAAACUGUAAUAUCAUGUAAUUAGUUAUUAGGUAAACAGUGUUUAUCUAAUAUGAAAAUCAGUGUUUACUAAACUCUGAAUUAUUUGCGUAUUUUUAACCUUUUGACCAAUUAUGUUAUUUCCAUUAUUUUAAGUUAGUCUGUUAUCAGUUAUAGUUAAACUUUACUACCUAUAAUUUUAAGUAAGAAGACAUGGUCUAUUUAAUAAGUGAGACCAUCAUACGGUGUGGGUUAAAAGGUUAAAUUUAUGCCAUUUAUCACAUGAUUCCAAUUUACAAGGGUGUGUGCAUUUAUGUACGAAAUGAAGGCACUGUGAUUCGUCUUUUAAAUAAAUAAACAUGUAACUAUUUUACUAAACAACAACAUAGUAUUUUUGUUUAUACAUUAAUGUAAGCAAAUUCUUAAUUGUAUGAGAAGUUCUGCCAAAGAAUGAUGAAAGAUCACGGAUGUCUUUAAGUAAAUGGAGUGCUUAUUUGCGCAAACAAAACUGUGAAAAGUAUUUGUAUCUUAACAAUAGGUACUGUGCAGUUUCUACACUAGACUAUUAAAAAAAACACUUUUUCUUUUGUUACAUAUUUUCCGUUAGACAAAAAACAAAGUUUGCACAGUAACUCUAAAGUGUCAUUCUAUGGAACUUGCUAACUAUGUAAACAAACCGCCAUAUUGAAAUUGUCUCUGAAUGAUGAAUUUACUAGUGACUUUUGUUUACAUAGUUAGCAAGUUCCAUAGAACACUUUAAAUAUAAAGUAUGAGGCCUAAUGAGAAAUACAGGUAAAGAGGAAAGGUUUAGGCACUUUAACCGUGGGCGUAAUUUCCCUUCUUAACCUGGAAGAAGAGUCUGUGGGGACUAGUUUCUCUAUAUUUCUAUAUAGGCGCAUUUAUCACUAUUUCGGAUUUUCACACCUAGUGUAGAUGCUGCUUUAUCUAAUUAAUAUGUAUCAAUAUUACAGGAAUUUAUAAUGUUAAUGCUGGGUUUUCCGUUGAAUUUCACAAUGUGUUCAUAUAGAAGGGACUUAAUGUAAAGUUUAGAUAGUUUUGUAAAGUUUAGAUGGUCGAUGCAUUUGUUGUGUAGGUAUCACUAUAAAGCAGCGGUCGGCAACCUGCGGCCCGCGGGCCGCAUGCGGCUCGUGAACCUGUCACUUGCGGCCCGAGUGCCGCCUUGGCUAUUUUGUAUGUAAUAGUGACAAACGACAAUGUCUCAUAAAGUCAAUAUUAAUAAAGUACAAAGUAAAAGGUUGCCGACCGCUGCUAUAAAGUAUUGUACGUACGGUCAGUAGCAGAUAUAAUGAUUAAUGAUGUACAAACAGCAACACUCACUGUACACCCAGUGGACCUUAUUACAAAAGGCAUAAGGUCCACCGAUGUACAGUUAACAGUGUGGGCGAUGGUACCUACCUAAUGUCCCGGACAAAUAGCCAAAAUGACAAUCGUUUGUAGAAAACGAAGCGACACUAUUGUCUCUAUCACUUCCAUAUUAGUGCGAUAGACAGAUGACUUUUCGUUUUGUUUCUCUGCGAACGAUUGUCAUCUUGGCUAGGCCCCCUUUUUAUCAUUAAACUUAUCCAUCGAAAAAACUUCUAGUGCUGAGGGCCUACCGAACCGCGAACCACGUUCGACGUGCUGCCUCUGUCGCACUUAUAAAUUCGUACGUUAGUGUGAUAGGGAGGUAACACGUUGAACGUGGUUCGCGGUAGGCCCUCUGAACACAGUCCAUCCCUAAGGAUCUCCACAACGACGGUAUCCCCGAUUCACGGUCGACAUUCUUUAUAUUUGCUUGUGACCAUAGAGAAAAUACAUAGAUUGCUCACUCCAUGUCCAUCAGUUAGAGAAAUAUAAUAUUUACAGUCACAGGCAUAGAGAAUGCUUGUGACUGUAAAUAUUAUAUUAUGCUGUUGAGAUAAGACUUUCCGGUCGGUGCUACAUCUAUUGUCAAGUAGCAGUACUGAUAGUUCCGCUACUCGAUGCUAGAUGUAGACACUGAAAUUAAAAGUGUUUUUGGUACUAAAACUGAUGUGUGGAGUGAGCAUACUUGUCUUAUUAUAUUUCUCUAUGCUUCUGACUGUAAAUAUUAUAUUUCUCUAACUAUGGUACCUAUCUACAAAGCAAACUCUAAAAAUGUGAAUUUUCUAAUAUUAUCUUUAUAUGUAAGUAGUCUUGUAUGUUGAUUGGCAUCAUAUUUGUAAGUAAAACUAUGUACUGCAAUCGGACUAGAGAAACUUGAAGGAAUUCAGUAAAAUAAGCCAUGUACGCUUACCACUUCAAUCUAUAUUUUAAACCAAUAUUAGAGAUAUAUUUUAUGAAUAACUAUCUAGCAGCGUCGGUGUUCAUUCGAUCAUUUAAGAUAUUCCAAACUGAUUGAAAAAUAAAUAAUUCUCGUAUUAAAA